UGGUUUCGAUUCAUAAAUGAGGAUUUUUUGGUUAAGAAAAAAAAAAUGUCAAAUUAUGAUUUUUAAUUAUAAUUAUUGAUAAAUAUGAAUUAAUCAAUAAUUAUAAUCCCAACAGCGGGAUGGUGGCUGCUGUGUCCAGAUGCGUUUCUCCAUCAGUAGCUGUUCAUCAGGGGCUUCAGUGGUCUGCAGGCUCACCAUCCAUGCUUUAAAAAACUGGAUUGUAUUUCUACAAAGCGUUUUGUAGCCACAGACUAGCUGGCUGCAUCAUCAUGGACAGUGACACCAGCACUGGUCAGGGCCACAGUGGACUGGAAAGCUCCUUACAGUGCCAAGAACAGGUAAUCAACUUUUUCAUGUUCACUUUUCCACCAUGAAAACACCAUCUCCAUGGAGAUGCAACAUCAUGCUUUAUUUCAGAAGGGAAAAGGUAGAUGGAGUAUCCUAGAUGAAACCUGUUAGAGGCUGCAGGUGGAGGUUCACCUUCCAGCAGGACAACGGCCCUAAA
Long non-coding RNA from Girardinichthys multiradiatus, 505 nucleotides. RefSeq lists it as uncharacterized. The record is from RefSeq and is a predicted model, not a curated record. The transcript has 2 exons. NCBI's taxonomy places the organism in Eukaryota, Metazoa, Chordata, Actinopteri, Cyprinodontiformes, Goodeidae.